UACGUAGGGAGCGAGCGUUGUCCGGAUUUACUGGGUGUAAAGGGUGCGUAGGCGGUUUUGCAAGUCAGAAGUGAAAUCCAUGGGCUUAACCCAUGAACUGCUUUUGAAACUGCAGGACUUGAGUGAAGUAGAGGUAGGCGGAAUGCGUGGUGUAGCGGUGAAAUGCAUAGAUAUCACGCAGAACUCCGAUUGCGAAGGCAGCUUACUGGGCUUUAACUGACGCUGAGGCACGAAAGCGUGGGUAGCAA
This 248-nucleotide ribosomal RNA is filed under the name uncultured Ruminiclostridium sp. RNAcentral describes it as "partial 16S ribosomal RNA". It matches the Rfam family "Bacterial small subunit ribosomal RNA", at positions 524 to 771 of the family's 1533-position model. The record is from RNAcentral. Lineage: Bacteria; Bacillati; Bacillota; Clostridia; Eubacteriales; Oscillospiraceae.